CAGGUGUUNUUNANUUUGAUNGAAAGCCCCCNGCUCANCCGGGGAGGNUCAUUGGAAACUGGGGAACUUGAGUGCAGAAGAGGAUAGUGGANUUCCAAGUGUAGCGGUGAAAUGCGUAGAGAUUUGGAGGAACACCAGUGGCGAAGGCGACUGUCUUGUUUGUAACUGACACUGAGGCGCGAAAGCGUGGGGAGCAAACAGGAUUAGAUACCCUGGUAGUCCACGCCGUAAACGAUGAGUGCUAAGUGUUGGGGGGUUUCCGCCCCUCAGUGCUGCAGCUAACGCAUUAAGCACUCCGCCUGGGGAGUACGGUCGCAAGACUGAAACUCAAAGGAAUUGACGGGGGCCCGCACAAGCGGU
Molecule: ribosomal RNA, 360 nt
Filed under: uncultured bacterium
Lineage: Bacteria
Description: partial 16S ribosomal RNA
Rfam family: Bacterial small subunit ribosomal RNA
Source: RNAcentral